RNAcentral lists this ribosomal RNA (575 nucleotides) under Corniculariella brasiliensis. RNAcentral describes it as "LSU rRNA". It matches the Rfam family "Eukaryotic large subunit ribosomal RNA", at positions 53 to 652 of the family's 3401-position model. The record is from RNAcentral. Lineage: Eukaryota; Fungi; Ascomycota; Leotiomycetes; Helotiales; Dermateaceae.
GAGGAAAAGAAACCAACAGGGAUUGCCUCAGUAACGGCGAGUGAAGCGGCAACAGCUCAAAUUUGAAACCUGCCAACAGGCCGGAUUGUAAUUUGUAGAGGAUGCUUUGGAGUUGGCUCUGAUCUAAGUUUCUUGGAACAGAACGUCACAGAGGGUGAGAAUCCCGUACGUGGUCGGUGGCCUUCUCUAUGUAAAGCUCCUUCGACGAGUCGAGUUGUUUGGGAAUGCAGCUCAAAAUGGGUGGUAAAUUUCAUCUAAAGCUAAAUAUUGGCCAGAGACCGAUAGCGCACAAGUAGAGUGAUCGAAAGAUGAAAAGCACUUUGGAAAGAGAGUUAAACAGCACGUGAAAUUGUUGAAAGGGAAGCGCUUGCAACCAGACUUGCGCGUAGGUAAUCACGAGUGGUUCGCUGCUCUGCACUUGCCUACGCUCAGGCCAGCAUCAGUUCUAGGGGUGGGAUAAAGGCCGUUGGAAUGUGGCUCUUCGGAGUGUUAUAGCCUUCGGUGCCAUGCCGCCUCCCGGGACUGAGGACCGCGCUUCGGCUAGGAUGCUGGCGUAAUGGUUGUAAGCGACCCGU